Molecule: ribosomal RNA, 431 nt
Filed under: uncultured bacterium
Lineage: Bacteria
Description: partial 16S ribosomal RNA
Rfam family: Bacterial small subunit ribosomal RNA
Source: RNAcentral
AACGAACGCUGGCGGCAGGCCUAACACAUGCAAGUCGAGCGCCCUUUCGGGGGAGCGGCGGACGGGUGAGUAACGCGUGGGAAUAUGCCCUUCUCUACGGAAUAGCCUCGGGAAACUGAGAGUAAUACCGUAUACGCCCUGCGGGGGAAAGAUUUAUCGGGGAAGGAUUAGCCCGCGUUGGAUUAGGUAGUUGGUAGGGUAAUGGCCUACCAAGCCGACGAUCCAUAGCUGGUUUGAGAGGAUGAUCAGCCACACUGGGACUGAGACACGGCCCAGACUCCUACGGGAGGCAGCAGUGGGGAAUCUUAGACAAUGGGGGCAACCCUGAUCUAGCCAUGCCGCGUGAGUGAUGAAGGCCUUAGGGUUGUAAAGCUCUUUCAGCUGGGAAGAUAAUGACGGUACCAGCAGAAGAAGCCCCGGCUAACUCCGUG